Molecule: ribosomal RNA, 361 nt
Filed under: uncultured bacterium
Lineage: Bacteria
Description: bacterial SSU rRNA
Rfam family: Bacterial small subunit ribosomal RNA
Source: RNAcentral
GUGGCAGAGAUGUCAUGUCCGCAAGGGCGCUAUACAGGUGGUGCAUGGUUGUCGUCAGCUCGUGUCGUGAGAUGUUGGGUUAAGUCCCGCAACGAGCGCAACCCUCGUUCUGUGUUACCAGCAUUUAGUUGGGGACUCACAGGAGACUGCCGGGGUCAACUCGGAGGAAGGUGGGGAUGACGUCAAAUCAUCAUGCCCCUUAUGUCUUGGGCUGCACGCAUGCUACAAUGGCCGGUACAAAGUGCUGCGAGAUCGCAAGAUUGAGCGAAUCACAUAAAGCCGGUCUCAGUUCGGAUUGAGGUCUGCAACUCGACCUCAUGAAGUCGGAGUUGCUAGUAAUCGUAGAUCAACAACGCUACGG